Molecule: ribosomal RNA, 423 nt
Filed under: uncultured eukaryote
Lineage: Eukaryota
Description: bacterial SSU rRNA
Rfam family: Eukaryotic small subunit ribosomal RNA
Source: RNAcentral
CGAUAGCGUAUAUUAAAGUUGUUGCAGUUAAAAGCUCGUAGUUGAAUUUCUGGGUUUUAGAAGCACCCGAUCCUUUGGAUUGAGAUAUAUAGUGUCUUCGCCCAUCCCCUUUGGUGUAUUAACACGGACUUUGAUGUUCCGGUUAAUGGACCAAGGAAUUUACUUUGAAAAAUUAGAGUGUUUCAAGCAGGCGAUUUGCUGGAAUACAUUAGCAUGGAAUAAUAGAAAACGACCUUUUUAUCAUUUUAUUGGUAUCAUGAUAUAAGGUAAUGAUUAACAGGGACAGUUGGGGGCAUUAGUAUUAUAUUGUCAGAGGUGAAAUUCAUUGAUUAGUAUAAGACUAACUUAUGCGAAAGCAUUUGCCAAGGAUGUUUUCAUUAAUCAAGAACGAAAGUUAGGGGAUCAAAGAUGAUUAGAUACCAU